UACGGAGGGGGGCUAGCGUUGUUCGGAAUUACUGGGCGUAAAGCGCACGUAGGCGGCUUUGUAAGUUAGAGGUGAAAGCCCAGGGCUUAACCCUGGAAUUGCCUUUAAGACUGCAUCGCUAGAAUCGUGGAGAGGUAAGUGGAAUUCCGAGUGUAGAGGUGAAAUUCGUAGAUAUUGGGAAGAACACCGGUGGCGAAGGCGGCGACCUGGUCCUUGACUGACGCUGAGGCGCGAAAGCGUGGGGAGCAACAGG
This 253-nucleotide ribosomal RNA is filed under the name uncultured bacterium. RNAcentral's name for it is "partial 16S ribosomal RNA". It matches the Rfam family "Bacterial small subunit ribosomal RNA", at positions 524 to 775 of the family's 1533-position model. The record is from RNAcentral.